Molecule: long non-coding RNA, 3579 nt
Filed under: Bemisia tabaci
Lineage: Eukaryota; Metazoa; Arthropoda; Insecta; Hemiptera; Aleyrodidae
Description: lncRNA ENSSWEETPG001838
Source: RNAcentral
AUGGAUUUGAGUAAAGAAACUAAACCUCAACUCGAGCAGCUACUUUACAAUGCAACUUUACUCACAGAAGCAGCCCUUGAAUUGCGAGAGAAGUCUAUCAGCAGUGAUAAGUACAGCAGUUAUCUACGAAGUUUGGCGUGGCGCGCCACUCGUGCUUCCUCCAUAAUUCAGCAAACUAGUCGAAAUUGUUUAAACCUUGCUCAGCGAAUAGCAGCAAGUUGUUCGAAGACUUUAGAGAUUAUCCCGGAACCAGCCCUUCGGCAGCAGACUGAAAGGUUGCUGUUUAUUUUAGAAAAAGAGCUUGUUGAUGUGAUUGAUUUCGAUCUUGCGGAAAAUCCAUUUGCGUUCACACCAAACAAUCCAAACAAUCUCAGUGAGAAACUACGGAAUCUUGAGAGUCGUGUGAAGCUAGACUGUGGUUAUUUGUCUCAGUGCAGCAGCGCCAAAAGUUUCAAGCAAGAUGUUGAUGAAAAGUAUCCAGAAAAUUGCUCGCGGGAAUCGCUGUUUGACUUCAAUGUAAUGAAUCUGCCUCCAGUGCCAGAGGACAUUUCUAUGAAUUUUAAUAAAAUUGGAAUUCCAUCACACAGCCAGUCAUCCUUGCGCAGUCUGCGCAAAGCUAAACACUACACGCAGAAGGCUGUACCCUCUGAUGAGAGCGAGGAAAGUGAAAAUGAUGAUCAAGAUAUUGCUAGUAUUUCAGGAGAAGGAAGACACAGCUACUGGGAAUUAAUGAAGCAUGUUAACAAGCGCAAAACUUUAGGAAACAUCAAAGAAGAGUCCAGUCAGGACUUGUAAUUUCUCGCUUCCUAUUUUUAAGUAGACGGGGCAUUUGUUAUUGAAAAAAAUACAGACUUUCCGUUUUCCUUUUCCUCUGAUGCUCGCUCACAUGGAACCUCGUUUUCAUUUUAUGGUUAAAUAUGCAGAAUCCGUUAAAAGAAAAUUAUAAUUAAAGUCACAUUUGAGUUGGAGUUAAAUACUCAGUCUCAUUGGGUAACUACUCGGCUCAAUAAGACUGAAUGAUCAUGAUUCGAAAUCGCAUGUGUUGCAAGUUCGUAAUCCAUUCUCUUUGAUUCGAAUUAAGCGCCAUUUACUCGCACGUUUUUAUAACAUCAUGGUGCCAAAAUAGCGUGCCCAAAAUCCUCCGAAAAUUCUGCCCCGAACUCUCAACCCAUGAAGUAUAUGCCGUCGAAGUCGCAUGAAUGUCACUGUUUCAAUAUCCUUACUUAGAAUAUUAGGAAGGGAUGUUUUAUUAUCGCCUAAGAAUAAUUAUACUCUUCUCUAAAAGCUUUAGCACUGAAUCCCCGGCCAGUCCAAUACCAGCAAGCUUGGCAAUUCUGAUUUCACCUGCGUAGUUCGCUGUUGCCAGGUAAACCAAGUUAAGGAGCAAUUUUAUUUAUUGAUUUCAUAGAAGAUGUAUUUUUAACAGUCAGUUUUCCACCAGACACCAAGAAAUUUUACGCAACUUCACUAAAUCACAUAAAUUUUGCUUUAAACUCAUCUGAAUCGUAAUAAAAAACUAGUAAUCUCGAGUCAUUUAUUCAGUAGAAUUUUUGAAUAAUCGGCAACUGAGCCUCUAAACAAAACAAAAAAUAUGUCGGAAUUUAACUUCCCUGUAAUGUCACUUUAUCAAUCGCGGUGUUCUUGCUUUGUCGCUAAUUUCCUCUCACUUUGAUUUUGUGAUGUGUUUGUUCGAUAAAAAAUGUGCUCAAUUUGAAUCUCGGCCAUUCUAAUGAGCUGAUCGUCUCUCAUCUUUAUCCAAAGUAAGUGAGCUCUCAGAAGUCUUUAUCAGUGUUUAUGUACUUAUGUUUUGUUAUCAUUCCUCUCCACUCAUGUGCAUCCAGGUAGAAGGUUGAUCUCUUAUUACCCUCUGGAAUUUGUUUUUUAUUUGCUCCCUUCUCUAUUAUGUAAAUAAAUGUUACGGACAUCAACUUAUGAAGUAUGAACUAUGAUAGUCUGUGAUCUUGUAUUGAGCGUCAAAGUAGGCGUGGAGUCGAGAGCUAUCUAAUUAAAACACAACCCAUUGAUAGCGGAAUGGAAACAAUUAAUCAUUACAGAAAAUACUAUCUGGUAUGCUAAAAUCGUGUGCAAGUUUUUUGACGCAGGAACACAGGGACUUCUUGUUGACUUUACUAGCAGUAUUACAUACCUUCUGAGGACAAAAUUUUCAUCCGUCAGGUCGACAGAAGCAAAUUUGCCUCCCAAAUAGUCUGUAGCAACUUUCCAGUGCCACCUUAGUCCACCAGCCUUGCUUUCAAGUCGGUCAUAAUACCAGAUGAAGAACAUCGGAGAAUCCAGCUAAACAUGAUUCUCUGUUGUGAUUCCGUCAUCUCCUGCCAUAUUUUAUAUUUUGGAGAUCCAUUUCAAUUAAUCUCCAUCCUUGACCUACACUCGGUGGUUUUUCUCUGCCUCUCUUGAGAAUACCCUUUCUAGUGCUGAGCGGAAAUGUCAGGAAGCAUUAUUUAUCCGUAGAAAAUUACUUAAACAUGAUUGAAAUACUUCAAUGAAUUCAUGUGAAUACUUACUUCCAUACACAGGACAUUGUGUUAUAUAUUAAGCAACAGGUUGGAGAGUUUUAAUUCAAGGAUGACAAGUGUGGAUUAGCAAAUCUGCAAUAAUGGACAAUCUAGUCAUAUCAAAUUUUACUGAACAUACACAGGGGGACAAUAUUAUUCCUAAUUUACUCAAGGUCUCUUCAUUUUUUGCAAAACUGGGAUUGACUUGGUGUAGGAACUAUAAUUAAUUCUUUUUAAUCAGAUCAGUGCUCACCAUACUACAUCUAACCUUUGAGACGAACCUCGGAGGCUUUUCAAGAGGGAAGUAUAUUUAUGUCCAGGUAUCUUUAAGUCUCCACCAAAUGCUCCAAAAAACCCACUUUCCUUCGUAAAAACAUAGGUAAUAGAAAAAGACGCAAGAAUCUAUGCUUACUUAGUCAUUUGGUAUCCUCCGCUGCCAUAGCGGAAGGGUAAAAUUGUCUGGCAAAAAAUGUCGACUUGCAUACUGGGGGGCUAUUAGGGACCCUUAAUCACUUGGAUAAAUCGUAUAAGACCUUUCGCAGUGACCUUAUUGGUAGCCGCGCCAAGUCUACCGCUAGGUGUAAGUAUUGUAGUACGGCAAUUGGCUCUCCAUUAUUCUGGAGAAAUGCACAUAAAGUGCCAACCACCAGUUCACUGACCGUAGAAGGGAGAGCAGGAUAGGAUCCUAGUUCUUAGUGACCUGGUUAAGCCAGCUUAAGUAACCCCUAAAAAAAUUGCAUUAAUGGAGCAACAUAUCUAUAGCUUUUGUGGGAUGGAACGAUUAUGAACUUGGAUCAAGUAUAUUCCUCUCAAAGAUGAAAGAGAGAAGUCAUACACAGAGGAAUAAGUAAAUUGUAAAUAGGUACAAGAAUAAACUCAUUUUUAAUUGGAUUCAUUAAUUUUCACCAGCAUUAUUCAUUAAUUAAUUUUUUCAAAUAAGCACAUGAACAAGUAAACAAGCAAUUUUAACACAAAGAAGUUGAAGAGCAGUAUCGAGGUCUCAUUUUGCUGAGAGUACAUCGAUUUUGAAACUGAGCCGAAAAAGAAUAGAUAUCUUGAUUGACUG